This 1023-nucleotide ribosomal RNA is filed under the name Serratia marcescens. RNAcentral describes it as "bacterial SSU rRNA". It matches the Rfam family "Bacterial small subunit ribosomal RNA", at positions 54 to 1042 of the family's 1533-position model. The record is from RNAcentral. Lineage: Bacteria; Pseudomonadati; Pseudomonadota; Gammaproteobacteria; Enterobacterales; Yersiniaceae.
AAUGCAAGUCGAGCGGUAGCACAGGGGAGCUUGCUCCCUGGGUGACGAGCGGCGGACGGGUGAGUAAUGUCUGGGAAACUGCCUGAUGGAGGGGGAUAACUACUGGAAACGGUAGCUAAUACCGCAUAACGUCGCAAGACCAAAGAGGGGGACCUUCGGGCCUCUUGCCAUCAGAUGUGCCCAGAUGGGAUUAGCUAGUAGGUGGGGUAAUGGCUCACCUAGGCGACGAUCCCUAGCUGGUCUGAGAGGAUGACCAGCCACACUGGAACUGAGACACGGUCCAGACUCCUACGGGAGGCAGCAGUGGGGAAUAUUGCACAAUGGGCGCAAGCCUGAUGCAGCCAUGCCGCGUGUGUGAAGAAGGCUACUUCGGGUUGUAAAGCACUUUCAGCGAGUGACGGAAGGUGGUGAACUUAAUACGUUCAUCAAUUGACGUUACUCGCAGAAGAAGCACCGGUACUAACUCCGUGCCAGCUUCAGCCGCGGUAAUACGGCAGGGUGCAAGCCGUUAAUCGGAAUUACUGGGCGUAAAGCGCACGCAGGCGGUUUGUUAAGUCAGAUUGUGAAAUCCCCGGGCUCAACCUGGGAACUGCAUUUGACGUAACUGGCAAGCUAGAGUCUUGACGUAGAGGGGGGUAGAAUUCCAGGUGUAGCACUGGUGAAAUGCGUAGAGAUCUGGAGGAAUAACCGGUGGCGAAGGCGGCCCCCUGGACGAAGACUGACGCUCAAGUGCGAAAGCGUGGGGAGCAAACAGGAUUAAAUACCCUGGUAGUCCACGCUGUAAACGAUGUCGAUUUGGAGGUUGUGCCCUUGAGGCGUGGCUUUCCGGAGCUAAAGCGUUAAAUCGACCGCCUGGGGGAGUACGGCCGCAAAGGUUAAAAACUCAAUGAAUUGACGGGGGCCCGCACAAGCGGUGUGAGCAUGUGGUUUAAUUUCUAUGCAACGCGCAGAAACUUAUCUACUCUUUGACUCAGAGAACUUUCAUAAUGGAUUGGUGUCUUCGGGAAUUCUGAUUCUGGUGUC